GACGAACGCUGGCGGCGUGCCUAAUACAUGCAAGUAGAACGCUGUAGAGAGGAGCUUGCUCUUCUUGGAUGAGUUGCGAACGGGUGAGUAACGCGUAGGUAACCUGCCUUGUAGCGGGGGAUAACUAUUGGAAACGAUAGCUAAUACCGCAUAACAAUGGAUGACACAUGUCAUUUAUUUGAAAGGGGCAAUUGCUCCACUACAAGAUGGACCUGCGUUGUAUUAGCUAGUAGGUGAGGUAACGGCUCACCUAGGCGACGAUACAUAGCCGACCUGAGAGGGUGAUCGGCCACACUGGGACUGAGACACGGCCCAGACUCCUACGGGAGGCAGCAGUAGGGAAUCUUCGGCAAUGGGGGCAACCCUGACCGAGCAACGCCGCGUGAGUGAAGAAGGUUUUCGGAUCGUAAAGCUCUGUUGUAAGUCAAGAACGAGUGUGAGAGUGGAAAGUUCACACUGUGACGGUAGCUUACCAGAAAGGGACGGCUAACUACGUGCCAGCAGCCGCGGUAAUACGUAGGUCCCGAGCGUUGUCCGGAUUUAUUGGGCGUAAAGCGAGCGCAGGCGGUUUGAUAAGUCUGAAGUUAAAGGCUGUGGCUCAACCAUAGUUCGCUUUGGAAACUGUCAAACUUGAGUGCAGAAGGGGAGAGUGGAAUUCCAUGUGUAGCGGUGAAAUGCGUAGAUAUAUGGAGGAACACCGGUGGCGAAAGCGGCUCUCUGGUCUGUAACUGACGCUGAGGCUCGAAAGCGUGGGGAGCGAACAGGAUUAGAUACCCUGGUAGUCCACGCCGUAAACGAUGAGUGCUAGGUGUUGGAUCCUUUCCGGGAUUCAGUGCCGCAGCUAACGCAUUAAGCACUCCGCCUGGGGAGUACGACCGCAAGGUUGAAACUCAAAGGAAUUGACGGGGGCCCGCACAAGCGGUGGAGCAUGUGGUUUAAUUCGAAGCAACGCGAAGAACCUUACCAAAUCUUGACAUCCUUUGACAACUCUAGAGAUAGAGCCUUCCCCUUCGGGGGACAAAGUGACAGGUGGUGCAUGGUUGUCGUCAGCUCGUGUCGUGAGAUGUUGGGUUAAGUCCCGCAACGAGCGCAACCCUUAAGCUUAGUUGCCAUCAUUAAGUUGGGCACUCUAAGUUGACUGCCGGUGACAAACCGGAGGAAGGUGGGGAUGACGUCAAAUCAUCAUGCCCCUUAUGAUUUGGGCUACACACGUGCUACAAUGGACAAUACAAAGGGCAGCGAAACCGCGAGGUCAAGCAAAUCCCAUAAAGUUGUUCUCAGUUCGGAUUGUAGUCUGCAACUCGACUACAUGAAGCUGGAAUCGCUAGUAAUCGUAGAUCAGCAUGCUACGGUGAAUACGUUCCCGGGUCU
This 1371-nucleotide ribosomal RNA is filed under the name uncultured bacterium. RNAcentral's name for it is "bacterial SSU rRNA". It matches the Rfam family "Bacterial small subunit ribosomal RNA", at positions 28 to 1381 of the family's 1533-position model. The record is from RNAcentral.